UGGGGAAUUUUGGACAAUGGGGGAAACCCUGAUCCAGCCAUCCCGCGUGUGCGAUGAAGGCCUUCGGGUUGUAAAGCACUUUUGGCAGGAAAGAAACGUCAUGGGUUAAUACCCCGUGAAACUGACGGUACCUGCAGAAUAAGCACCGGCUAACUACGUGCCAGCAGCCGCGGUAAUACGUAGGGUGCAAGCGUUAAUCGGAAUUACUGGGCGUAAAGCGUGCGCAGGCGGUUCGGAAAGAAAGAUGUGAAAUCCCAGGGCUCAACUUUGGAACUGCAUUUUUAACUACCGGGCUAGAGUGUGUCAGAGGGAGGUGGAAUUCCGCGUGUAGCAGUGAAAUGCGUAGAUAUGCGGAGGAACACCGAUGGCGAAGGCAGCCUCCUGGGAUAACACUGACGCUCAUGCGCGAAAGCGUGGGGAGCAAACAGG
Molecule: ribosomal RNA, 429 nt
Filed under: Acidobacteriota bacterium
Lineage: Bacteria; Pseudomonadati; Acidobacteriota
Description: Acidobacteria bacterium partial 16S ribosomal RNA
Rfam family: Bacterial small subunit ribosomal RNA
Source: RNAcentral